GUCGUGGCUCAGUAGGUAGAGCGUUCGGCUGUUAACCGAUUGGUCGCAGGUUCAAGUCCUGCCGACG
Molecule: transfer RNA, 67 nt
Filed under: uncultured Methanosphaera sp.
Lineage: Archaea; Methanobacteriati; Methanobacteriota; Methanobacteria; Methanobacteriales; Methanobacteriaceae
Rfam family: tRNA
About the family: Transfer RNA (tRNA) molecules are approximately 80 nucleotides in length. Their secondary structure includes four short double-helical elements and three loops (D, anti-codon, and T loops). Further hydrogen bonds mediate the characteristic L-shaped molecular structure. tRNAs have two regions of fundamental functional importance: the anti-codon, which is responsible for specific mRNA codon recognition, and the 3' end, to which the tRNAs corresponding amino acid is attached (by aminoacyl-tRNA synthetases). tRNAs cope with the degeneracy of the genetic code in two manners: having more than one tRNA (with a specific anti-codon) for a particular amino acid; and 'wobble' base-pairing, i.e. permitting non-standard base-pairing at the 3rd anti-codon position.
Source: RNAcentral